Molecule: ribosomal RNA, 254 nt
Filed under: uncultured bacterium
Lineage: Bacteria
Description: partial 16S ribosomal RNA
Rfam family: Bacterial small subunit ribosomal RNA
Source: RNAcentral
UACGUAGGGGGCGAGCGUUGUCCGGAAUCAUUGGGCGUAAAGAGCUCGUAGGCGGUUCAGCAAGUCGGCUGUGAAAUUCCGAGGCUCAACCUCGGAACUGCAGUCGAUACUGCUGUGACUCGAGUCCGGUAGAGGAGAAUGGAAUUCCCGGUGUAGCGGUGAAAUGCGCAGAUAUCGGGAAGAACACCCGUGGCGAAGGCGGUUCUCUGGGACGGUACUGACGCUGAGACGCGAAAGCGUGGGGAGCGAACAGG